GCGCCUUUGGCGGAACUGGCAGACGCACAGGACUAAGGAUCCUGUGUCCGCAAGGACAUGAGGGUUCGAGUCCCUUGAGGCGCA
This is a non-coding RNA of Clostridiales bacterium GWD2_32_19, 84 nucleotides long. Lineage: Bacteria; Bacillati; Bacillota; Clostridia; Eubacteriales. The record is from Rfam.